AGGACGAACGCUGGCGGCGUGCCUAACACAUGCAAGUCGAACGGGACCAGGGGCAACUCUGGUUCAGUGGCGGACGGGUGCGUAACACGUGAGGAACAUGACCUUCGGCGGGGGAUAGCCGGCCCAACGGCCGGGUAAUACCGCGUACGACCACUUUGGGACAUCCCUGGGUGGUGAAAGCAGCAAUGCGCCGAUGGAGUGCCUCGCGGCCUAUCAGCUAGUUGGUGAGGUAACGGCUCACCAAGGCGACGACGGGUAGC
This 260-nucleotide ribosomal RNA is filed under the name uncultured soil bacterium. Its description in RNAcentral is "partial 16S ribosomal RNA". It matches the Rfam family "Bacterial small subunit ribosomal RNA", at positions 26 to 287 of the family's 1533-position model. The record is from RNAcentral.